UGAUAGGUCAUCUCAUCUGGAAGGAGAGAUGGCUUAAAGGGGUACGCGGGCUUCUUCCGCGAAUCUGCUCCAGGAUGGGACUGCGUCCGAUCAGGCUGUUGGCGGGGUAAUGGCCCACCAAACCUGUAACCGGUACGGGCCUUGAGAGAGGUGGCCCGGAGAUGGACACUGAGAGAAGGGUCCAGGUCCUACGGGGCGCAGCAGGCGCGAAACCUUCGCAAUGCGCGAAAGCGUGACGAGGUUAAUCCGAGUGACUCCCGCUGAGGGGGUCUUUUGUCAGCUGUAAAUAGGCAGGCGAAUAAGGGGAGGGCAAGCCUGGUGUCAGCCGCCGCGGUAAUACCAGCUCCUCGAGUGGUCGGGGCGAUUAUUGGGCCUAAAGCAUCCGUAGCCGGUUCCGUAGGUCCUCUGUUAAAUCCAACCGCUUAACGGUUGACCUGCAGAGGAUACCGCGGGACUAGGAGGCGGGAGAGGCGGACGGUACUCCGCGUGUAGGGGUAAAAUCCUUUGAUCCGCGGAAGACCACCAGUGGCGAAGGCGGUCCGCCAGAACGCGCUCGACGGUGAGGGAUGAAAGCUGGGGGAGCGAACCGGAUUAGAAUAC
RNAcentral lists this ribosomal RNA (600 nucleotides) under uncultured archaeon. Its description in RNAcentral is "bacterial SSU rRNA". It matches the Rfam family "Archaeal small subunit ribosomal RNA", at positions 154 to 737 of the family's 1478-position model. The record is from RNAcentral.